Molecule: ribosomal RNA, 465 nt
Filed under: Vreelandella stevensii
Lineage: Bacteria; Pseudomonadati; Pseudomonadota; Gammaproteobacteria; Oceanospirillales; Halomonadaceae
Description: partial 16S ribosomal RNA
Rfam family: Bacterial small subunit ribosomal RNA
Source: RNAcentral
CCUACGGGAGGCUGCAGCGGGGAAUAUUGGACAAUGGGGGCAACCCUGAUCCAGCCAUGCCGCGUGUGUGAAGAAGGCCCUCGGGUUGUAAAGCACUUUCAGUGAGGAAGAACGCCUGGUGGUUAAUACCCAUCAGGAAAGACAUCACUCACAGAAGAAGCACCGGCUAACUCCGUGCCAGCAGCCGCGGUAAUACGGAGGGUGCGAGCGUUAAUCGGAAUUACUGGGCGUAAAGCGCGCGUAGGUGGCUUGAUAAGCCGGUUGUGAAAGCCCCGGGCUCAACCUGGGAACGGCAUCCGGAACUGUCAAGCUAGAGUGCAGGAGAGGAAGGUAGAAUUCCCGGUGUAGCGGUGAAAUGCGUAGAGAUCGGGAGGAAUACCAGUGGCGAAGGCGGCCUUCUGGACUGACACUGACACUGAGGUGCGAAAGCGUGGGUAGCAAACAGGAUUAGAUACCCCUGUAGUC